Molecule: long non-coding RNA, 13403 nt
Filed under: Amborella trichopoda
Lineage: Eukaryota; Viridiplantae; Streptophyta; Magnoliopsida; Amborellales; Amborellaceae
Description: long non-coding RNA (ATRI_LNC002795)
Source: RNAcentral
UCAGGAAAUGGAAGCUGCCCUUUACAUGGACCCCAAUUUGUUUGGGGAAACCCUAAUGCAUAUCACCAUCCUCAUGCUCCAGGACCCAUGAUGUGGUCAAGCUCCCCAUCGUUUGUUAAUGGUGUUCACAGUCGACCCCCUCAAUUGCAUGGAUUUCCUCGUGCUGAUGGCCACCUCGUAAACCCUGUUCUUUCUCUUCAUCAUCACCAUGUGGGUUCAGCACCUGUUAUGAAUCCCUCCCUUUGGGACAGAAGACAUGGUUAUACAAAUGAAUCAGCCGAUGCUUCUGGAUUUCACCCAGGUUCUCUUGGAAGUGUGGGCUUUGCUGGGAGCUCUGGUUUGCAUCCCAUAGAUCUCGCUGCUCAUAACUUGCUUGGGCAUCAUGGUGCAAACAAUAUGAAUCCUUCAUUGUCCUCUCCAAAUCUAGGUUUGCCUUCUCCUCAACAUCGCCACAUGUACCCCCCAAGAAGCCCAAUGAUGGGUAUGCCUGCUCCAUUUGACAAUCCCACAGAGCGGGCUAGGAGUCGUAGGAACGAGGCAAGUUCUAAUCAAGCUGACAAUAAGAAGCAGUAUGAGCUUGACAUUGAUCGAAUCUUGCGGGGAGAAGACAUACGAACCACGCUUAUGAUCAAGAACAUUCCUAACAAGUAUGUAGGAUGGUCCUGCUAUAUACCUUUAUGACAUCCUUAAACUAAAAGCUGGGAAAGUAUACUACUUGUUAAUGGGCUACGGAAAAACCACUGUUAAUUUAGUCAUCCCUGUCCAGUGAUGAAUGGAGGUGGAGAUUGUCUCAAUCUUUCAUUGGGACCAUGCCUUGUUUUGGUGUGUCCUACUCUCUCUCCAUCGCCAUCGAUUUGAGUUAUGGCCAGUUAUGAUCAAGUGGACAAUGGUUUUUUCGUAGUAUAUUGAAUUAUAAUAUGCUUUCUUUUAAAAAUUUAGCUGAAACUCAUCUUUGUCCCUGUAAAUACUGUAAUAAGUUGGUGGCAAAAAUCCUAUUUCCAGCAUUGUCUGGACUCCAUGGGAACUGCAACUGAGACUGUACAUUAUUCAGUUUAUAGUCCUUUGUAAAAAAGUCGAAUAUAAGAUAUGUCAAAGGUUCCUUGAAAUAUUUUAUUGUUUAGAAAAUUGGUAUCUCUGCAUUCACAAAAUAUCAAAAGAAAUAAGUUUGGCUGUCUUUUCAUUGUCAUUUUUUGUAUCAGUAACUGAUCGACCAUGAUUCUGUCCAAAACUAAAAAUUUGUUAGACAUUCUAUGCAAAUCAAAGGUGAACGAGUAACAGAAAUUACUAAGUUGAUUAUUGUUACUAUGAUUUUUAUCAAAAUUAAUUAUUGUUACUCUCAUCUAGAUGUUACCUCUUUUUAUGUUGUUUUCGGGUUGCAGGCAUGUAUAUGGUAUUUUUAUGUUUGAUAUUGGAUUAUUUGAUUCUUUAUUUGGGGUUCAUCCAUAGAUACACAUCAAAGAUGUUACUGGCUGCCAUUGAUGAACGCCACCGAGGAACUUAUGAUUUCAUUUACUUGCCAAUUGAUUUUAAGGUGAGGAUUUUGUUGUAUUUACUGGUUCUCCAGGCUUUGCUCAUGGAGUAGUUUUGUUCAUCUUUAAUAAAUGGGUGGCCAUGCAACUGAUACACUAUAUUAAUCUCCUUCCUCAAGAAUAAAUGCAAUGUUGGCUAUGCAUUCAUCAACAUGACUGAUCCUAUGCAGAUCGUUCCAUUCUUUGAGGUAUGUCUUUUCGGCAGUUUCACUUUGUUUCAGUAAUGUCUUCUUGUGCAAGUGCUUGUGCGUAAAUGAUUUGUUUAUCAUUUUUACAGGCAUUUGAUGGUAAGAAAUGGGAGAAGUUUAAUAGUGAAAAAGUGGCAUCACUUGCCUAUGCGCGGAUACAGGGGAAAGCUGCUCUCAUUGCUCACUUCCAGAAUUCAAGUUUGAUGAAUGAAGAUAAACGAUGCCGGCCUAUUCUUUUCCAUUCAGAUGGUCCAAAUGCUGGUGACCAGGUAACAUGCUUUGUUCUGCCGUUACUGGAUUCCCUUUUUGCCCUUCUCCAGAUAUAGUCUGACGCUGUGGUUCGUGAUGUUUAAGGAGUUAAAAUGAAUAGGCCAAUUUGUGAUUCAUAUGCAGCAUAGUUCUUUUUGUUUUUUUCUUUGUUUCUGGUCCUGAGGAUUUUUGGUUUCACAAAUGAGCAGACCUCUCUCUCUCUCUUGCUCAAUCUUCAGGUUUGGAGUUUCUUUUUCCAAACUUGAAUAUCUAUAAGAAAGAAUGGCAAUCUUUUUCAUGAAUUAUGUUAGUUGUUUAGCUUUGGAGAUGGGAUCAUGCAUACAUAUGUUUAGACCGAGAUUCACUCGGGUAUGGUUCAAUUGGUUAGUGGUGGAAAAGAAAGGAAAGGAAAACAGAAAAUAAAUUAAAGCAUAAAAAGUAGGAGGCCUUAUUGUUUAGAGUUAGUACUGAUUGCUUGAAAAUAUUUGUUGUUGUGAUUGAUUUUUUCCUCUAUAUCUAGUCUUUUUUUUAGCUGAAUUCUCCUUGAAAGGACCGGUUUUUUAACAUGAUGUGGUUGCUGAUCCUGUUCAAUCAUCAGCUUGUCCACUUAGCUGGUUUCCAUAUUGGAGUUCAUUUUAAGCCUUCAGUUGAGUAAUGAUUUCUAAAGAGUUGAUAGAUAAAUUUUGUUACAAAAAUGUUUACUUCAUAGUGAAAAUGUUUGAAAUUUUGAAUCCCUAUCAUGGAGUGUUGCUGCUGCUCUAUUCCAUUAUCCUGGGAUUUUUGCUGCCAGUUGGAAUGGGGUCUCUUGGUAAUUCAUGUCAGCUUGUUGAGUAUAAUGAACAUGUGUUUUCCAUUGAGGAUAACACUAUUGGAAUGUCAAAAGAAAAGGACAUUUCCAUUGGAUGUUGAGACGAUGGGAACAACCACCUAUUGCUUGAUGUGCCAUCUAGGUGAAGGUCCUCAAGUUGCAAGCUUUCUGAAUAAUGGUGAGGAAGAUUUUUAAAGUAUGUAGUUUGAACAGGAAGCUAGAACAUCUAGCAUGGAUGGAUCCUAUGUCUGUGAUUUAGAGUCACGAACAUGUGGUAAAUACAAGUAACUUGAAUGGGUGUUGAGUGACUAGGCAGAGUAGGGAGAAGGAUGAUGUGUAGAGCCUGGAUAAUUUAGUAACUGCUAGGCCUGAGUAUGAUGGAGUUGUAAAGUAUGACACAUACGGUAGGAAAGGAUGAGAGAUGAUAGUGGGUGGCGAGGCCUAGGUGGGGGCAUCAGGAUAAUAGACAGUGGUGGUCAGCUUUCAUGAAAUUAUACCUGAAGUUUGUGGGGACAAAGUGAUGUUCAUGCUGAUAAAAAAUGUUGGGUACAUCAAAUGCUUCUAUCCAUUGGAUAUUUCUUGUUGAUUCCCCAUAUAUAAAACUAACCAAGUAUUCAAACCAUAAAAAAAAUUACAAGAAUCUAGCCUUUAAACCAGUAUUUUAGAAAUUUGAAUCAGGCCCUGAAUCGUCCAGUGUCCAACUCUGAUAUGCCUGUCCUACUCCGGCGAUUCCUGAGUCGGGUUGGGCUAUAUAAUACAAAUAAACUAAGGAAAACAAACUGGGAUAUUGGGGUGGUUCUAGGGUUCCUUAAACCAGAAUUGCCCACCUCCUGAUCUGGAUUUGAAUCAAGCCAGAUUCGGAUUGGUGAUUUUUCAAAACUGCUUUAAACUCAUGGAUUUUGUUUGGAUCAGUGAUUUUCGAGCACUGCUUUGAACUUCUGGAUUUUGUUGAAGAUGUGAAUUUAAGCCUUUUCAUGUCCAAACAAUCAACUUAGAUGGAAAGUAGUAUUCCACAUCCUCUUCCCAAUCAUUAUUGAUGGCAUAAACUCUCAAAUAAAGAAAUCUUCUCGUAUUUGUCACUGGAACAAUUUUUUGUGGAAUUCCCUCUUCUUUGGAGGGAAGCAUGAUCAUAAGUGGACACAUUUGGUGGCUACACAUCCAUAUCACUGAGUUAUUUGAAUCUGAAAGGUACAUACACUAAGUCAUCUGUGCACUUUUCCCAAAUUAUGGCGGAGAUGCAAACAAUAUGUUUUCAAGUAUCCUUUGUCAAUGAGGCUUCCCUAAUGGCCUCUAUAGAUGAAAUGAAGAUGGGACAUGCAUUCCAAUUUCUCAAGCGGAUGCAAGGGUCUCCUAGAUGUAUCAUUAACAAGACUUAGAUAUGCAUCUCUAUAACUUGCUCACCCAUGUUUGACAUCACCUUUUUUUGGUUCGGCUUUAUACAGCUAACACCACUAGAAUCUUGGACAUGUACACACAGAUGGCUGCUUGCAAACUUCGUAAUUUAUGAUUCGAAAGUCCUCGUAACAGUAUACACAAUGUGCAUGCAUGUUCAGGACACUUCCUCACAUGCAUGUGUGCACAGUCCUGUAUGCAGAUAAUUGCAAACAUGCAAUGAACCCUGUACAAAGUUAGUAAUGUACGGUGAAAUAAGAUCAAUCAUAAUGUCUGCAUAGCUUUUGUCUUGUAUUAUUUCUUUUAUUUCAUCUCUUUCUCAUCCAUUAAAAAAUUUAAAACAAAAUGGUUCUCUUUUUAGUACACACAUACAUACACAGAGAUAGCUAGCUAGAUUGAUAGAUCGGUUGAUUGAUUGGCAGAUUGUAAUGAUUGUCACUUUUAAUUUCACAGGAGCCAUUUCCAAUGGGUGUAAAUGUCCGAACAAGGCCAGGCAAAUCGAGAUCAAGCAGCAAUGAGGAGAUCUCUCAAGGGAGCCCUCCGACCUCUGGUACAGGGGAUGACUCUUCUAAUGGUAACGACUCCUCAAAGGAUGGAGAAUGACCCCUUGCAAGAGCCUCUCAUAAUCAAUAUCACUAACUACACAGCAAAGUGGGAACCAGAAAACCGGUAUCUUUGGACCGGUUUUCUUUUUUCUUCCUUUUUUCUCUUUUUUUUCCUCAGAAUUUGAGUAAUUACGGGUUUUGGGCUGACACAAUUUUUUGUGGGUGAGCCGAAGUUUUGAAAUAUUUUUGAUAUCAAGAGGCUGACGAGGCAGAAGACGGGUGUACAAGAGCUUGGCGUGAAAGUAUGUACAGGAGGAGUUUCAGUGGUCGGUCUUUGUUAUUUCAGUUUCUCUCUCUUCUUUUUGUGCUGUUAUUGAGGGCUUCUCUCUCCAUGUCCUCCUGUUUUAUUUUUCUUGUGUGAGAUUAGAGCCUUUGUGGUUCUGUUUUGGAGUGGAAAGAAUGAAUGUAAUAUGGAAGGGUCGGUGUAUUUUUAUGAAUUUUUGACGUGCAUCUGAAGGGUUGGGUCUAUAUGUAGUUAUAUAUUUAUGGUUGACGUGCAUCUGAAGGGUUGGGUCUAUAUGUAGUUAUAUAUUUAUGGUUCAGGUCUCUAUGGUUCAGGUCUCUUUCUCUCUCCCUUUGGUGCUUGCCCUAUGUGGAUUGAGGCCAUGUCACAUCUUUAAUGUUUCAUCCAUGCUGAAUAAAGAGUUGGUGAUGGGCGGUCACAAAAGAUCUGAUUGUCGCUCAUUUUAUCUGUUUUUCUUACUCAGAACCACUUGUUCAUAUUUUCUGAUCCUUGCCGCCUUUUAAUUUUUGUACCAUUGUAUCCGUUGAUCAAAAACCCAGGCUCAGGUCUGGGCUUGCUACGAUCAGCCCCCGGUUAGACACCAACGUAGCAGAUAUUCUUCUAUAUUUCUUUUACAGAAAUUCAGCCGACCCUUAAUGAGAGAUGCACACGAAAUCUCUGGCUUCAUUAGACUCGCCCAAAUUUUGUUGUAAUUGGGACCUGGCAAGGUCCUGGGUCAAAGUGACUUGGGCAAGUUUGAGCCGCAAGUUUGAGCCGGGAGUCGGUGAAGUGUUGAAGUUUUAUCGUAAGGGGAUUUUUUGGUUUGAAAUUCUGGAAUCCAUUUAAGCAUUACUAGACUAUUAUUUUCAAGAAAAAAAAUGGUUUCGAGUUUUUUAACAGGGUCUGGUUGUCCAAAAAUGGGGCAGUCUGUUUAAUUUUAGGACAUCUUUUUUCAAGCUCAAGAAUCCCAAUCUUAAGUUAAUGGCUAGAUUGAACAUGAUACAUCCUUAAAUUUUGGAGUAUUGAAAAUACUGUGAGAUUUAUUCCAGAGAGUAAGUCUUCAGUCUGCUUUCUUUGGGGCAUGAAAUCUCUUGACUAGAGAGAUAGAUGUAUGAGUGAGAAACAUAGUGCAUAGAGAGUUUAAAAACUCUAUCCCACAUUAAAAAUAUCGCUUCUCGAGUUGGCAGAAUUUGUGCAUAUGGACUAUAGGAUGGUAUGUUGCAUUUUAAUAGAUUGAUUGUGGGCUCUCUUGGACAUUAUAUACCAUAUUCACAUGUAGUAUGCUGUAAAUUAUAUGUGGUAUGGUUUUUUUGGUUUUUUUUUUGACGAAUAUUAACAAUCUUUAUUGGUGUCCACUUGAUCUCCAUUGCCAAUUUUUCAAUUGUGGACCGUGGGGGAUCAACCAUUCCAUUCAUAAUGAAUCGCAGAGAUUGUACUAUGGAUCCUUGAAUUUCAAUUCUUCUGUAGCUACGGAUAGAUAGCUUCUUUUGUAAAUCCGGGGGUCUAAAAAAUUGGAUCGGGCCCCGGACUCAGUUGCCUGCUUGAUCAUGCCGGAUCGGAGUUUCUUGGUCAAAUCGGACUGGUGAUUUUGAUGCAACUCGGUUGAGUCAACGAGAGGGUUAAAAAGAGAAUUGUUCGGAGCUUGAACAAAAUAAAAAGCCAGCUAUUUUUUUUUUUUAUUUAAAAUGAGAUUAUUGCAUUUUGCAUUAAAAAAAAUGAUAUCCAUUGUAGAUAAUUUGAUGAAAUUGCCGAAAAUGCUUCGAUGCGGAGAGUGUGGUUCCUGCUUGAUCAUGCCGGAUCGGAGUUUCUUGGUCAAAUCGGACUGGUGAUUUUGAUGCAACUCGGUUGAGUCAACGAGAGGGUUAAAAAGAGAAUUGUUCGGAGCUUGAACAAAAUAAAAAGCCAGCUAUUUUUUUUUUUUAUUUAAAAUGAGAUUAUUGCAUUUUGCAUUAAAAAAAAUGAUAUCCAUUGUAGAUAAUUUGAUGAAAUUGCCGAAAAUGCUUCGAUGAGGAGAGUGUGGUUCCUGUUUGAGUAGUUUGUAUUCUUCCCUUCGUGGUUUAGAUGAAAGUUUUCGCAAUGAUCAGAUACAUGGUAGAAAAAUAGAGUAAAAUACCUCUGAUUUCAUAGAAAAUCAAUGAAAAAUAAGGACACGCUUGGUUCGUAUGAAAAUUUUCUUAGAAAAUAACUAUAUUCACAAGAGUAAGAAAUCUUUUUACCUAUGAAAUUAAUUUCCAUAAAAAGUGUUUAAAAUCUAAGAAAUUGGAAUCGUACCUACAUCGUAUGUAGGUACUAUCAAAGCCCGGCCCAGCUUACAUCCUACGUAGGUACUAUCAAAGCCCGGCCCAGCCUACAUCCUUGUACUAUCUUUCAAGAAUCGUACCUACAUCCUAUGUACAAUCAAAACCCGGCCCAGCCUGGACCUACAUACUAUGUACUAUCAAAGCCUGGUCCAGCCCAAACCAACCUAAAAAGAAUAUAUUAGGCCUGGGCCUGGUUCAGCCCAUUAAGAAGUCCCCCGUUUUUUUAUUUUUUUAUGGAAAAAGUGUAUACAAGGAUGCUACCUUAUAAUGUGCAACUACGGAUGCCCCUAAAAAAUUCAUCGAAAAAGGUAGUUUUAAUGUUGAAAAACGCUUUGACUGUUUAUCUCGACAUCGAGAUGUAUGACUAUGGAAAAUAAAAAGAUUUUAAGUAUCAGAAAUAGUGCAUUUUACAACAUAUUAUCCACACCGUCCAUUUUCAAGAUUUUCAUAUGUUUAUCAAUCUACUUGAUUUUGACAAUUUUGAAACUUAAAAUUUUAUAAUUAGAUACAAAAAUAGAUUUUGAGAUAAUCCUAAAAACAUUUUACAUCAAAAUUAUACACCAUGAUAAAUUUUGAAGGUGCACUUUACCUCUACACCUACGAAUGCAUCCCUAUGCAGACUGCACCUUGUUUUUAUUUCACUCUUCAAACUAUUAUUGUUGGUAUAAGUCAAAAAUAGUUUUUAAAUUUUUUUUAAAAAUAUUGGGUUUCUAGAGGGAGAAACAGAGAUUGGGUUUUUAGAGACAGAGAGAUUGAGAUUUUAGAUAGAAAAAGAUGUAUUGGUUUCUAGAUAGAUAAUGAGUUUUUAGAGAGAGGAGAGAUUGUGUUUUUAGAGAGAGAAAGAUAUUGAUUUUAGAGAGCGAUAGAGAGAUUGGGUUUUCAAAGAGAAAGAAAUUAAUUUAUAGAGAGAGAAAAAGAACUUGGAUUCCUAGAGAAAGAAAGAGAGCUUGGAAUUUUAGAGAGAUAAGUGAGAUUGGGUUUCUAGAAAGAGGGUUUUUAGAUAGAGAAAGGGAGAUUGAGUUUUUAAAGAGAGAAUGGGUUUUAUAGAGAGAGAGAUUGGAUUUUAGAAAGAGAAUAUGUUUUAGAGAGAGCAAGAGAGAUUGGGUGUCUAGAGAGCAAAUGGGUUUUUAGAGAGAUAUUGGUUUCUACAUAAAAUGGAUUGCUAGAUAGAGAAAUAUAUAUAAGGUUUUUAAAAGAGAGAGUAUGUCUUUAGAGAGAGAUAGAUUGGAAUUUAAGAGAAAUAAAUAUUUAGAGAGAGAUAAUCGGAUUUAAAAUAGGAAAAAAGUUUGUGUUUUUAGAGAGAAAGAGAGGAUUUUUAGAGAAAAAAAGAGAGAUUGGAUUUUUAGAACGAGAGGAUCAUUUUUAAAAGGAGAAUGAAUUUCGAGAAAGAGAUAAUAGUUAGAGAGAGAAAGAUAGAUUAGGUUUUAGAAAGAGAAAGAGAUAUUGGGUUUAUAGAAAGAGAAUGAGAUAUUGGGUUUUUAGUAAGAGAAAAUGUGUUCGAGAGAUAGAGAAUGAGAUAUUGGGUUUAUAUUUUAUAGCAAUGGUUUAAAAAAUGGAUCGGUGUUUCGGAUCGGUCUCUUCAAAAACCCAUUCGUAUCGGUGAUUCAGAUCGAGAAUCGGACGAAUCAAUCCAAUUAAGUUUUAAAAAAAAAUUUGAAAAAAUUAUUAAAAAUUAUUAUAAAUAUUAUUUUUUUAAAAAUUCAAUAAAAAAUAUGAGUAUUACAUUAUCACUUCAUCUGUUUUGAUAAAGAAUUUUGAGAUGCGCUUUUCCCGUUUGAACUUAUAUUAAAUGGACGUGGGUCGCCUAUUCUCGACUCGGACGAGAUGGUUGCGUGUGGCCGAUUUUUAAAACACUGUUUUAUGAGAAAGAGACGUUGGGUUUCUGGUAAGAAAAAAUGUGUUCGAGAGAGAUGGGUUUCUAUAAAGUGAGAAUUGGUUUUUAGAGAGAUUGGGUUUAUAAAGAUCAUGCGUUUUUACUUUGGUUCAUACAUAUUUUGAGAGAUGCUCUGAUUUUAGGGAUACUCUGUCUCUGUCUCUCUUCUAUGGACAAAGUUAAAAAAUGGCUAUCUUCAUCUGAAAAUGUGAGCUUCGUCUUCAAGCGUUUCCUGAUAUCUGCAACUGGAAGUAAUCAUUCUUUCCUUUGAUGGGAUGCUUAGGUGGGUUUCUAGGAUUUCUUAUUUCCAAUCUAUAAGACUGAGGAAACCAGGGUUCAAUUCAUCCCUGUAUUCCUGUAAAUCAAAUGAAGACUUGCAAAAUGUUGAUUUGCCCUUGCCAUUGCCCAAAGCUCAGAGGAAGCCAUAUCCAACACCUAUGAAAGUCCUCAUACAAAGAGCAAAGCAGGAAAAAGAAGAGAGAAAGGCCAAUCAUUUUAGGGUUCUUCCACCCCCUGAUAAUGGUCUUCUAGUGCCAGAGCUCGUUCCCAUCGCAUACGAAGUUUACGGGGCUAGACUUAAACUUCUCGAUGGUCUCUCGAAGCUUGUUUAUGGUGUGGUUCCUGUUAAAAGAUGCAGGUAUGCUCUCUCUCUCUCUCUCUCUCUUUCUCUCUCUCUGUAUUCUCUCUGAGCUUCUGGAAUUCCUUUCAGGUUCUGCCAUGAGGUCCAUAUCGGUUCCAUUGGCUAUGAAAUAAGGACAUGCACAGGCCCCAAAAGUGGUUUCAGGAGCCAUACGCAUGUAUGGAGGAAGGGAAGAAUCGAAGAUGUGGUGGGUUUUCCCCAUUGUUUCCAUCUCUAUGAUAGAGCAGGAAGACCAAGAGUUGUUCAUGAUGAAAGAUUCAAAGUUCAGAGGCUUCCUGCCAUUGUGGAGCUCUGUAUUCAGGCUGGUCUAGACCUUGAAGAUUACCCAACCAGAAGAAGAACCAGGCCUGUUUAUAUUGCCGACGGAAGGGUUCUAGAUUUUGAGCCAUUUCAAGACAAUAACUUGCAGACCCAUGAUUCACUUUCUUAUUCCAGGCCUCCUCAUGAACACGGAGCAGAGAAUUCAAGGAAAUUGAACUGGGAGAAAAGGCUCCAAUUACCUUCAGGUGAGAGCUUACAAUGCAAUGAUCCGACCAAUAACUCGCCGACCAAUGAAUUGCUUUGUCACACUAGCCUUACUCCUGAACUUGAAGAAAAUUCCAGUUCAUUAAAAGGAUCCAAAUCAUAUCUGGGAGAUAAUUCAGAGAUCCAUGAUUCAUUCGUACGUAAUCACCUUCCUCCUGAUUUCAGAAAAGAGACUUUGAGAGAAUUCUCUGAAAAUGAGAGAUUGAAGCCAAGUUCAGCUCAUGGUUUUCAGUUAGAGUCUCGAGUAUUUGCUUCUGAAAAUGUACAAGAUGUAAGAGAAUUGAACAUUCUUUCUUGUGAAAGUGGAGAAGAGGAUGUGAGAGAAUUGAGCACUAAGACCAUGAACUCAUGGUUUAAGAUGAGGGAAGGAGCAAAGAAGCUCAUGAAGAAGUAUUCAGUGAAGACUUGUGGUUAUUGUUUAGAGGUUCAGGUCGGGCCCAAGGGGCACAAGGUGAGAAUGUGUAAGGCUUUCAAGCACCAGCAACGCAAUGGUCAACACGCUUGGCAAGAGGCAACAAUGGAGGAUUUGAUUUUCCCCAAAUAUGUGUGGCACGUUGCAGAUCCCAAUGGUCCUCCACUAAGCAACGUGUUAAAGAGGUUUUAUGGUAAGGCACCAGCCAUUGUUGAGCUCUGUGUUCAAGCUGGGGCUCCAGUUCCAGAGGAAUUUAGGGGCAUGAUGAGGUUGGAUGUGGUUUCUCCAGGCAUGGAUGAAGCUGAUCUUGUCUCUUGAAACUGUAGUCAGAGAUGUGUAGGAUUUUUUGGUGAGAAUCUUAAUUUGAGGUGGGAUUUCGAAAGUUGGAGAGUUGACGGUUUUUCCUCUGGUGUGGUUUUAGGAUUGCUCGAUCCUUUCCAUGCUUCUUUCCAUUUUGAGGACUGACUAGAAGUAUCCCCCCUUUACUGUAAUUGUUUUGUAUACUUGUAUCACCAUAGGGAACAGGUGUAAUUUAUAGAUGUUACAAGAGUGUUUUAGCUCUAUCUGUAUGUCUGCCAUUGCCCCAUUGAGGAGGGCUUGGAGCUAUCAUAAGGGAAAUAUUUUAUUUUAUGUGAAUUCUCAAUGUGUAUUUCUUGAAUUCUAUGAUCUGACCUAGUAGGACAACCAAGUUCUGAUCUGAGGAUGCAUGGAAGGUGACUAUCCACACCUUCGCAGCAAUGCUUUAAACCAAACCCAAAUUGAACUAUUUCAUGGGAAUAAUGUAGAUCUUGUGAGAUGCAAAUUUGUUUUUCACUGCUAACAUCAUCAUUUUCGGCAUUGUCCUUACAUCCCACAACAACAUGGCAAGAAGGAAAAUUUCCGUGUUAUGGGCAGGCUAAUGGCCUAAUGCCUUGCUGCUUGAAUCAAUCUCAGGUGUUUGAGUGUUCCUUGCCAAUUGAAUCAAUCUCAUGCAUUCAAGUGUUGUUUGCAGAAUUCUACACUCAAAAGUUUAAAUUGUUUAGGGCAUGCCGCCCUCCUGAUAACUCACCUUCUGGAUGCUAUGGUAUAACCCUAGCCACUUUUACUUGUCCAUUAGUUUUGAAUAAGUAUUUUGAUAAUAUAAUGGACUAAGGGAAGCUAUAAUUCAUUGGGGUCAUCACCCAUGAAUUGCGGACUGCUGAUGGAGGACAGGACCACCAAAACAGGAGAUUACCUCAAUGGUAGUCCCCACACUCUCUAUCAACAUCGAUCAUUUUAGAGAGUGGUGACCAUCCAUAGUCCCUUGAAUAUAGUAUGCUUCACUCAUUUUAAAUUCUUUAAUGGAAAAUUUACUAAAAUACUCAUAAGUGAUGAACUAUUUAAUAUUUACCCAUUUGCAACUAUUCCAACUUUCUUUCAUGGGUAUUUCGAAAUUAAACCAAAAGAUAUCUGUAAAGUGUUAAAUUUUCCAUAUCUUUCAAAAACUUUCCCUUCUUUAAUUCAUUAAAUACAUCAUUAGCUCUACCAAAGUCGUUGCCCAACCUGCAGGCUUGUUCCCACAUGGAACUUUUACACCUGGCUCUCUAGAUAACGGGGCUAUCCAAGGUCAGCAUUCCACCAUCCAAGCACCUUUAAGUCCGUACAUGGAUGCCCCAUAUCAUGGGAUCUCCUCAAGUGUUCCCCAUGCGUUAUCCUCACCGGUUGGGGUUGCUUCAGCUGCCAACCAUGACAGUAGUCUCAGUGAGCAAAGCCAUUCUGUGGGCCACAAUAUGAACUUCGGUUUUCAAGGCAUGCCAGCUUUCCAUCCUCACUCGCUUCUAGAGUAUGACAAUGGUCUCAGCAAUAGUGUUCCCUAUAAUUCUCCGGGUGCCAUAUCUGGCCUAGCUGUAAAUAUAAAUUCCGGACCAGCUGAAGGAGUUGAUGGCAGGGCAAUCCAUGCAAGGGGUUCUAAUGGCUUCAACAAUCAUUCUUAUGAGAUGAAUGAAAACCGUAGAAGAAACCUUACUCUGCUCUUUACGUUCCUUACAAGACUGAAUUGCUUUUAUCUGGAGCUUAUGAUGCGGAAUGCCUGCUUGCAUUUCUUUAGUGGAAUUCAUGAGAAACAAAGAGAAUGAUGUCUGCAUUUUUAGAGUUAGUUUUGGCAGUCAAUGCCUGGAACAGUCAUGUCUCAGUUGAAGUAGACACUAAUGAACUGGUUGCGUUAUGUUUUGGAGAUUUGUAUUUGUACUUAUAACUUGUUAGUGAUUUCUUCUAUUCAAUGUGUGAGGGGCUACUAAGUGUGUUUUAAGCCUGAUUAAGAAUGGAAUUUGCUCAGACUUUCGUGCUAUUUUUUAUUUUUUAUUUUUAAUCACAUAUUCUGUAAGAACGAAUUUUUGUUUAAAUAUUGCUUAAUCUAUUUCUUGCCUUAGGGGAAUUUUUUGAUUAAAUAUAAAGAUCUUAUACUAUCUCUUAGUCGGUGUUUCAGGAAAUGAAAGCUGCCCUUUACAUGGACCCAAUUUGUUUGGGGAAACCCUAAUGCAUAUCACCAUCCUCAUGCUCCAGGACCCAUGAUGUGGUCAAGCUCCCCAUCGUUUGUUAAUGGUGUUCACAGUCGACCCCCUCAAUUGCAUGGAUUUCCUCGUGCUGAUGGCCACGUCAUAAACCCUGUUCUUUCUCUUCAUCACCACCAUGUGGGUUCAGC